GACGAACGCUGGCGGCGUGCCUAAUACAUGCAAGUAGAACGGUGAAGGAGGAGCUUGCUCUUCUGGAUGAGUUGCGAACGGGUGAGUAACGCGUAGGUAACCUGCCUGGUAGCGGGGGAUAACUAUUGGAAACGAUAGCUAAUACCGCAUAACAGUAGAUGUUGCAUGACAUUUACUUAAAAGGUGCAAUUGCAUCACUACCAGAUGGACCUGCGUUGUAUUAGCUAGUUGGUGGGGUAACGGCUCACCAAGGCGACGAUACAUAGCCGACCUGAGAGGGUGAUCGGCCACACUGGGACUGAGACACGGCCCAGACUCCUACGGGAGGCAGCAGUAGGGAAUCUUCGGCAAUGGACGGAAGUCUGACCGAGCAACGCCGCGUGAGUGAAGAAGGUUUUCGGAUCGUAAAGCUCUGUUGUAAGAGAAGAACGAGUGUGAGAGUGGAAAGUUCAUACUGUGACGGUAUCUUACCAGAAAGGGACGGCUAACUACGUG
RNAcentral lists this ribosomal RNA (495 nucleotides) under uncultured bacterium. Its description in RNAcentral is "partial 16S ribosomal RNA". It matches the Rfam family "Bacterial small subunit ribosomal RNA", at positions 28 to 507 of the family's 1533-position model. The record is from RNAcentral.